This 770-nucleotide long non-coding RNA is filed under the name Homo sapiens (human). RNAcentral's name for it is "non-protein coding lnc-PREPL-3:6". The record is from RNAcentral. Lineage: Eukaryota; Metazoa; Chordata; Mammalia; Primates; Hominidae.
AGUCACUGGCUUUCUUGCGGGUCAGUCACUGAGCCAAUUUCCAAGUCCGUCACACCGGCUUUUUUCAAAUGAACGCGCAAAAGGCGGGGAAGUAUCUGGAAAGCGAUUGGUUCGUCCUAGAAAACGGUCAAACCCGGAGAGUCUGUACGGAUCCUUUCCGUUCUGUGAGGACCGUGCCCCCUUGUAUUUGACCUCUAAGCCUCGCGUAAAAGAAGCGCCAUAAGGGACCAACGAGCAGUCCAGCUAUAGGUGUGGACGCCUGGUCCCACCCGGAAUUGCAGGGGCUUGGCUACUGAUUGGCUAAGAAAGUCCUCCUAGGCCCUCAUUGGAGGAUCUAAACGCCUCUCUUCGGCGUGGAGACGGGAAGGGACGACUCAGACGAGGACAAGAAGUGGGCAGGGGAGAGGCGGUUGUUUUGCUUCAGCCGCGGGUGGGGCGCAGGCGAGAGUGGGAAACUGGGAAGGCCGGGCUCUGGGGAGGUGUUGCGGGGAGGGGAAAGGCCCGGAUGUUCCCUAACAAUGAAAUCAUCGCCGACCUAUCAGAGCCGCCGAGCUGGGAUACCUGCCUGACCUGUACCCCGGAGGGAGAAGAGUGGGCGGGAAAUUGGGGUGUCGGAAGAACCUGGAAAGCAACGUGAGAAAGUGGGACAGGUGUUCCCUUCAGGAGGAUUUUGUGCUAUUAGAGAUUAUUUUUAUACCAGCCCUUGACAUUUCCGUAUUUUGUUUCUCAGUCGGCAUUGAUAUUAAAACUCCCAGCCUAGUCUCUUGACA